Cannabis sativa is the source of this 545-nucleotide long non-coding RNA. RefSeq lists it as uncharacterized. The transcript is spliced from 3 exons. The record is from RefSeq and is a predicted model, not a curated record. NCBI's taxonomy places the organism in Eukaryota, Viridiplantae, Streptophyta, Magnoliopsida, Rosales, Cannabaceae.
AUUCAUCUCUUCCCCCACAAACGUCCCCACACCCCACUGCUUCAUCUCUCGCGCGUUACGACAACGAGACCCAAAAAUUUUCCCCAUCUGAGGCCGGCGCGAGGUCCUCCCUCUCAGGCGGAGACCGGUGCUCCUCCUUAGGCGCAGCAAACGGACGCAUCUUAGAUUAUUUUUCUCGUUAUCUAUAUGCUUCGACCCUUUCCACUGGCAGUAGCAGCAGGCCAGCGACACACCACCAUGUCUAGUAGCCUAACGAUCCGAAUCUGUUUUAUUAAUCAAGUAUAACACAGUGCGAGAUAGAUUAUAAAAUGUUAGGUAAUUUCUUACUGAUUCUUGAAUCAAAUUUACACAAAUGUGUAUAAUAUUUAUGGUUAUCGUUAUUCAUUCUAUUGAAUCCUGCUAAUUGAGUUGGAUGAUGGAAGUAUUGAAAUGAACCUUUUCAAUUUAACUGUGUUUCUUGUUUAAUGAGACCUGUUUGAGUAAGCUACUGAAAAUGUGCUUAGAAUUUGCUUGGAAUUUUUAUAGAGAUAGAGAAUGAUUUCAUA